This 975-nucleotide ribosomal RNA is filed under the name human gut metagenome. RNAcentral's name for it is "bacterial LSU rRNA". It matches the Rfam family "Bacterial large subunit ribosomal RNA", at positions 1949 to 2925 of the family's 2925-position model. The record is from RNAcentral.
UCCUAAGGUAGCGAAAUUCCUUGUCGGGUAAGUUCCGACCCGCACGAAAGGUGUAACGAUUUGGGCACUGUCUCAACGAGGGACCCGGUGAAAUUGAAAUACCUGUGAAGAUGCAGGUUACCCGCGACUGGACAGAAAGACCCCAUGGAGCUUUACUGUAACCUGACAUUGGGUUUUGAUACAUUACGUACAGGAUAGGUGGGAGGCUUGGAAAGCUGGACGCUAGUCUGGCUGGAGCCGACGUUGGGAUACCACCCUUGAUGUAUUGAAAUUCUAACCGCGAGAGUAACGAAAUCCGGGACAGUGUCAGGCGGGCAGUUUGACUGGGGCGGUCGCCUCCGAAAGAGUAACGGAGGCGCCCAAAGGUUCCCUCAGCGCGGCCGGAAAUCGCGCGAAGAGUGUAAAGGCAGAAGGGAGCUUGACUGCGAGUCAAACACGACGAGCAGGUACGAAAGUAGGGCUUAGUGAUCCGGUGGUACCGAGUGGAAGGGCCAUCGCUCAACGGAUAAAAGCUACCCUGGGGAUAACAGGCUAAUCUCUCCCAAGAGUCCAUAUCGACGGGGAGGUUUGGCACCUCGAUGUCGGCUCAUCACAUCCUGGGGCUGAAGUCGGUCCCAAGGGUUGGGCUGUUCGCCCAUUAAAGUGGUACGUGAGCUGGGUUCAGAACGUCGUGAGACAGUUCGGUCCCUAUCCAUCGCGGGCGCAAGAGAUUUGAAGGGGGCUGCUCCUAGUACGAGAGGACCGGAGUGGACGAACCGCUGGUGUACCAAUUAUCCCGCCAGGGGUACAGUUGGGUAGCUACGUUCGGAAAGGAUAAACGCUGAAAGCAUCUAAGCGUGAAACCAGCCUUAAGAUGAGAUCUCUCAUAGAGCAAUCUAGUAAGACACCUUAAAGAAGAUGAGGUUGAUAGGUCGGGAGUGUAAGUACAGCAAUGUAUUGAGCGGACCGAUACUAAUAUGUCGAGGGCUUGACUUA